Molecule: unclassified non-coding RNA, 349 nt
Filed under: uncultured fungus
Lineage: Eukaryota; Fungi
Description: sequence contains ITS2
Source: RNAcentral
AACGCAACUUGCGCUUCUGGGUAUCCCUGGAAGCAUGCCCCUUUGAGUAUCGUUUCAACACAAACUCGUCUGCGUGCUUGUGAAUAACGAGCACGAUGUGUACGGUGAAUGAGCGUUUGGCCGUCGAAAGAGGGCUAAUCGUUUGAAACAUAUCAUACUCUAGUAUCAAUCGUUGAGCAUGUCUCACCUGGUUGAUGUUUGAUAAUUGACUUCGGUCAUUAUACAUCAUUACAUCGACAACAGGAGAUCGGUAUUCGUGUAUGUAUCAAGGAAUUGUAUUAAAUUUCGUUAACUCGAUUUUUAAUCUGACUUUGAUCUCAGAUGGAGUAAGAAAACCCGCCGAAUUUAA